GAUCAUUAGUGAAGUUUCGGGCCUGCCAUACGGACGCAAACACGUCUCUGGCGCCCAUCACUAUAUCCAUACCAACCCCUGUGCACUGUGAUGACGAAUGUCAUCGAACAAAAAAAAACUCGUAUGGUUGAAUGUACGUGAAAUUGUAGGUAUAGCCUACGAACUAUACACAACUUUCGACAACGGAUCUCUUGGUUCUCCCAUCGAUGAAGAACGCAGCGAAACGCGAUAGGUAAUGUGAAUUGCAGAAUUCCGUGAAUCAUCGAAUCUUUGAACGCACCUUGCGCUCCAUGGUAUUCCGUGGAGCAUGCCUGUUUGAGUGCCGCGAAUUCUCCCUCCCCUUACGGUGGCCGAAAGGCCGAAGUAGGGCGGACGGGGUAGGAUGGGUGUUUGCUGCCUGGGGAUUGUACCAGGCUCGCCCGAAAUGCAUAAGCGCCAGGACCCUCGCUACCGCUCUCUAGGGAAGAGUGGCUAAGCGACCGCUGAGCAUGGCAUGAUACGUCAUUUGCUGUGUGUGGGCGGCCGGUUGGAGAGGUGUCUGCUUUACCAGCCCUAUUUUAAUUCUGGUCUCAAAUCAGGUAGGAUCACCCGCUGAACCUAAGC
RNAcentral lists this unclassified non-coding RNA (603 nucleotides) under Malassezia sympodialis. RNAcentral describes it as "sequence contains 18S rRNA gene, ITS1, 5.8S rRNA gene, ITS2, 28S rRNA gene". The stretch from base 172 to 325 matches the Rfam family "5.8S ribosomal RNA". Lineage: Eukaryota; Fungi; Basidiomycota; Malasseziomycetes; Malasseziales; Malasseziaceae. The record is from RNAcentral.